Molecule: long non-coding RNA, 715 nt
Organism: Vespula vulgaris
Lineage: Eukaryota; Metazoa; Arthropoda; Insecta; Hymenoptera; Vespidae
Exons: 3
Source: RefSeq, a predicted model, not a curated record
GGCUUAUUUGAAUAUGUCAUAAUACCAUUCAGCCAAACACAUGCGAAACAAAUUAAUUAAAGAUAUACUGUUUCUGUUUUCACAAGGUUUAACUUCCUAUUUUGCCAUAAAAAUGAGAUCUUCAUUACUUCAAUUCAGACAAAGUAAAAUGGAAUUCUUCGAAUACUACAUCACCAAACGUUACAAACCAUCAGAAAAUCGAAUUAAAGCUAUCAAUGCUUACACUAUCAAGGAUCUACACUGUUUUCUCGAAAUAGUAAUCUACAUAUUAUCGAGCAUAUAUUCUAACACCAAAUCUGAGCUUCAUAUAAUGAACAACUAAAAUACGACAAAACACCAAUUGAGUGGACCCAAGUAUCAAUCGAAUCUUUUUAAAACUUAAGAAGAUCAGCGUCUUCAAUGCAAUAAUAAUACCAUGCAUCUUGCUAAUUACCACAUUUCUAUUCUUAAUCGAUAUUUCAGAUCGGAGAUACUGUGGAUCAGAAAAGAAAUAAAGAAUGGAAAUCGCUAGCUUUUUUCAUGUAAAUGAAGCAAAACAAAAAAUAACUAUAGCACAUAUAUCAUGAACUGCUUAUCAUCUUUGUAGACAUGAUGGAAAUCUAGUAUCUAGCUACAAUUAUUCGCUUUGACCUGUGAAAAGUUUGGACAAUUGCACGACAAUUACCGCACAUGAUAAAUUCACCAAAUGAUCCAGGUGAGAAAUUAUUAAUCAUUA